Molecule: ribosomal RNA, 1486 nt
Filed under: metagenome
Description: bacterial SSU rRNA
Rfam family: Bacterial small subunit ribosomal RNA
Source: RNAcentral
AGAGUUUGAUCAUGGCUCAGGAUGAACGCUAGCUACAGGCUUAACACAUGCAAGUCGAGGGGCAGCAUGGUCUUAGCUUGCUAAGGCCGAUGGCGACCGGCGCACGGGUGAGUAACACGUAUCCAACCUGCCGUCUACUCUUGGACAGCCUUCUGAAAGGAAGAUUAAUACAAGAUGGCAUCAUGAGUCCGCAUGUUCACAUGAUUAAGGGUAUUCCGGUAGACGAUGGGGAUGCGUUCCAUUAGAUAGUAGGCGGGGUAACGGCCCACCUAGUCUUCGAUGGAUAGGGGUUCUGAGAGGAAGGUCCCCCACAUUGGAACUGAGACACGGUCCAAACUCCUACGGGAGGCAGCAGUGAGGAAUAUUGGUCAAUGGGCGAGAGCCUGAACCAGCCAAGUAGCGUGAAGGAUGACUGCCCUAUGGGUUGUAAACUUCUUUUAUAAAGGAAUAAAGUCGGGUAUGCAUACCCGUUUGCAUGUACUUUAUGAAUAAGGAUCGGCUAACUCCGUGCCAGCAGCCGCGGUAAUACGGAGGAUCCGAGCGUUAUCCGGAUUUAUUGGGUUUAAAGGGAGCGUAGAUGGAUGUUUAAGUCAGUUGUGAAAGUUUGCGGCUCAACCGUAAAAUUGCAGUUGAUACUGGAUAUCUUGAGUGCAGUUGAGGCAGGCGGAAUUCGUGGUGUAGCGGUGAAAUGCUUAGAUAUCACGAAGAACUCCGAUUGCGAAGGCAGCCUGCUAAGCUGCAACUGACAUUGAGGCUCGAAAGUGUGGGUAUCAAACAGGAUUAGAUACCCUGGUAGUCCACACGGUAAACGAUGAAUACUCGCUGUUUGCGAUAUACAGCAAGCGGCCAAGCGAAAGCGUUAAGUAUUCCACCUGGGGAGUACGCCGGCAACGGUGAAACUCAAAGGAAUUGACGGGGGCCCGCACAAGCGGAGGAACAUGUGGUUUAAUUCGAUGAUACGCGAGGAACCUUACCCGGGCUUAAAUUGCAGAUGAAUUACGGUGAAAGCCGUAAGCCGCAAGGCAUCUGUGAAGGUGCUGCAUGGUUGUCGUCAGCUCGUGCCGUGAGGUGUCGGCUUAAGUGCCAUAACGAGCGCAACCCUUGUUGUCAGUUACUAACAGGUCAUGCUGAGGACUCUGACAAGACUGCCAUCGUAAGAUGUGAGGAAGGUGGGGAUGACGUCAAAUCAGCACGGCCCUUACGUCCGGGGCUACACACGUGUUACAAUGGGGGGUACAGAGGGCCGCUACCACGCGAGUGGAUGCCAAUCCCAAAAACCUCUCUCAGUUCGGACUGGAGUCUGCAACCCGACUCCACGAAGCUGGAUUCGCUAGUAAUCGCGCAUCAGCCACGGCGCGGUGAAUACGUUCCCGGGCCCUGUACACACCGCCCGUCAAGCCAUGGGAGCCGGGGGUACCUGAAGUGCGUAACCGCGAGGAGCGCCCUAGGGUAAAACUGGUGACUGGGGCUAAGUCGUAACAAGGUA